AGCAGCCGCGGUAAUUCCAGCUCCAAUAGCGUAUAUUAAAGUUGCUGCAGUUAAAAAGCUCGUAGUUGAAUUUCGGGACCAAUAUGUCGGUCGUGCCUCGGUACGUACUGGCAUCGUUGGUUUCUCCCUUCUGACGAACCAUGAUGUCAUUUAUUUGGUGUCGUGGGGAAUCAGGACUGUUACUUUGAAAAAUUAGAGUGUUUAAAGCAGGCUCACGCUUGAAUACAUUAGCAUGGAAUAAUGAAAUAGGACGUUUGAUUCUAUUUUGUUGGUUCCUAGGAUCGACGUAAUGAUUAAUAGGGAUAGUUGGGGGCAUUAGUAUUCAAUUGUCAGAGGUGAAAUUCUUGG
RNAcentral lists this ribosomal RNA (348 nucleotides) under uncultured Glomus. Its description in RNAcentral is "SSU rRNA". It matches the Rfam family "Eukaryotic small subunit ribosomal RNA", at positions 569 to 923 of the family's 1831-position model. The record is from RNAcentral. Lineage: Eukaryota; Fungi; Glomeromycota; Glomeromycetes; Glomerales; Glomeraceae.